Rosa chinensis is the source of this 971-nucleotide long non-coding RNA. RefSeq lists it as uncharacterized. The transcript is spliced from 4 exons. The record is from RefSeq and is a predicted model, not a curated record. Lineage: Eukaryota; Viridiplantae; Streptophyta; Magnoliopsida; Rosales; Rosaceae.
GCUAUUUAAACCAGUGACAAAAACCUCGUCCUCCACUCCCUUAAAGCUUCUGCCUUUUUUUUAGUUGCAGAAUCUCACUCCCUCACUCUCUGUCUUUCUCUCUCUUAACUAAUAUCUACAAGUACAAACAUGCUUACCCUGAAUCUCAACAGUCCUUCCAUCACUGUCACUUUCUCCAAAUCCACCCAUCACUACCCCAUCAAUGCCUCCCCCUCUUCCCUCCCCAACACAAGAUUCCCCACCUCAUCUGCUCUGCUCCACACACCCACCAAGCGUUUCACCAGAAUCUAUGCCCACCCAUUUGGAUUCUCCUCAAAACCCACUUCCCAGAUCCAUGGUUUGAACCCAAAGUUCCCAUCUUUCUUCUCCUCCAAACCCAGAUCCCAAACCCCAAAAGCUUCUUCUGCAUCAGAAGCCAACCCCAAUGGAGAUAUUGAACCCACAGUUCCAAAGCCUAAAGUCACAACCGCCCAGCUUUCCUUAAUCUUUGGGCUCUGGUACUUCCAGAACAUUGUCUUCAAUAUCUACAACAAGAAGGCACUGAAUGUUUUCCCAUUCCCAUGGCUUCUUUUUAUGUGCACGUUUUUUAUUACUUUCGUUUUUAAGUCUUUGGUUUUGUGAUCAGCUAUCUCUAGAGAUGAUGAAGAAUCAAAUGAAAAUAUAAGGGAUUCUGGAAAUCCGGCCUCUCGGAAAACUAUUGACAAGCAUGAAUUUGACAGAGAGGAAGCAAUGCCACUUUUCUUGUACACUUACUCACACAAACCGUCUUUGUCCAAGGAUAAUGCGAAUUCAGCUUUAGUGCCUGUUCGUGAUGGUCUAUCAAUCCUUUCCAAAAGUCCAAAUCCCGCAUUUCAUUUCCAGGAAACUCGGAAGAACGGACGCAGUACCAGGAGAUCUGGGCAGAGUGGUGACUUUUUUUCACUCAUGAGACGAGCUAAACGAGCAAUGUGAAGGCUCUUAAAAGGCUCUGG